RNAcentral lists this ribosomal RNA (850 nucleotides) under uncultured bacterium. Its description in RNAcentral is "bacterial SSU rRNA". It matches the Rfam family "Bacterial small subunit ribosomal RNA", at positions 26 to 870 of the family's 1533-position model. The record is from RNAcentral.
AGAUUGAACGCUGGCGGCAUGCUUUACACAUGCAAGUCGAACGGUAACAGGUCAAGCUGACGAGUGGCGAACGGGUGAGUAAUGCAUCGGAACGUGCCCGAUCGUGGGGGAUAACGCAGCGAAAGCUGCGCUAAUACCGCAUACGAUCUGAGGAUGAAAGCGGGGGAUCUUAUAGCAAUAUGGGGCCUCGCGCGAUCGGAGCGGCCGAUGUCAGAUUAGGUAGUUGGUGGGGUAAAGGCUCACCAAGCCGACGAUCUGUAGCUGGUCUGAGAGGACGACCAGCCACACUGGGACUGAGACACGGCCCAGACUCCUACGGGAGGCAGCAGUGGGGAAUUUUGGACAAUGGGCGAAAGCCUGAUCCAGCAAUGCCGCGUGCAGGAAGAAGGCCUUCGGGUUGUAAACUGCUUUUGUACGGAGCGAAAAGGCUCUCUCUAAUACAGGGGGCUCAUGACGGUACCGUAAGAAUAAGCACCGGCUAACUACGUGCCAGCAGCCGCGGUAAUACGUAGGGUGCAAGCGUUAAUCGGAAUUACUGGGCGUAAAGCGUGCGCAGGCGGUUUUGUAAGACAGGCGUGAAAUCCCCGGGCUCAACCUGGGAAUGGCGCUUGUGACUGCAAAGCUGGAGUGCGGCAGAGGGGGAUGGAAUUCCGCGUGUAGCAGUGAAAUGCGUAGAUAUGCGGAGGAACACCGAUGGCGAAGGCAAUCCCCUGGGCCUGCACUGACGCUCAUGCACGAAAGCGUGGGGAGCAAACAGGAUUAGAUACCCUGGUAGUCCACGCCCUAAACGAUGUCAACUGGUUGUUGGGUCUUUACUGACUCAGUAACGAAGCUAACGCGUGAAGUGACC